CUGGAAUUUUGACAUGAAACUAAUUAUUUGUUCGUCUGCCUCGCCUCUCAAUCGCAAGUGAGCGUCCGUUCGUCGCCCCGGCCGUUCAUUGCCACCAUCCUGGGCCGUUCAACAUGACAGUGCCAAGUCGUUCGAUGCCCCAGCUCAGGAGGCCGCUGCUGACUCCCGUGCAGGCCGCCAAUGCCCCUGUGCAAGGUUCAAAGGCCAUGGAAUUCUGCGACCAUUUGAGCUGGGCGACGGACCUAUACAACAUCCAACAUGUCCUCGUACUACACCAAGCAUAACCACAAGAACGCUCGUGCCACAGCAGCGCCCAGGCCGUUCACCAUCAGCACCAUAGUCCGUUCACGGCUGACUAUCGAGGCCGUUCACCGCCAACACCUGAGGCCGUUCGUCGAUGGAACAAUGAGGCUGCAUUCUCCUCCAGCACCAGGCCAGUGCUAUGGUGAACAUUCAAGGCAACAAAGCACACCACAGGUCGCAGUGCUGCCGCCGACCACAUGUGUGCAUGCGUGCGAUUGGUAUAACUGCUGCAGCACUUCAGAAAUAUGAACAAACAAAGCUCAAAGCAAAGUGCUAUUAACUGGGUCUUCCUGGAGCCAAGAUCCAACGCGUGAGAGAGAAGGGGUCGUUGCUGUAAUAGCGACAACCGACACGCUAUAGCCGGCGUUGAACCUGACCCCGACCUCUACCGUGAUAGAGAAACAGUUUUCUCCCAACGACGCAGGCGGCUACCCCGUACUUUCACCUCCGUCCGUCGCCGCCGUCCGCACAACUCUUGAUGCCGGAGUCCACACUGUAUCGAUGCGCCGCUAUCGCUCUGCCGUCGCGUGCAGGAAGUUCAACGCCACAAUCCCCGGCCGUUUAAUCUUGCUGCCGUGGGUGUGCCCCGCUCCAACUCCAUCGCCUGUGCUUCACUAGUGAAACAGUACGACCUGAGGAACCACGGGGGGUCGAGGACGUCCAACUCGGCAGUCCAACUCGGCGUUAUUCGUGUCAUCGUUAGCCCCAUGUUUGCUGGCAAGACCACCGUGCUUCUCCGCUGGCAUCGACAGGAAGACGAGUCCCUCGUCCGGUACGUCCAGGUUGGUAUCGAUGCUCCGGCCAACUCCUUUGAUCUGCUCGGUAAAUGCCCACUACUAACUCCAUUUGAAGUUUUUCAGUUUUAAUCGCGAUGCUUUUCUACUCAUGACACUGGAGCCCCCACUGCACACAAGUGCGUGGUGGAAGUUUGUACCAGUUCGGAGAAAAAAGAAACAAAGUUCAAAAAGAAAAAUCAUGAGUUCACCUUCCAUAAAGUUUGAAGUACAGAGAUAUCACCUUGAUGUAGUAUGUAAAUAUGUAUUGCAAAUUUGCAAUUCAGGAAUGGGUGUGUGUGUUGUAGUCUCUGCCUACAGGGUCAAUAUGUGUUUUUGUAGUGCUGGUAGUUGUAGUCGCCCGCGCUCUCUGCCGUCAUCAAGGGCACAUGUGUGCCGUCCUCAGUCCAACCCCAUGGCAUUAGGGUGGUCGAGUUCGUCGCGACCAGCAGUCCAUGGCUGUCGGCUUCAACUUUAUUCCACCUAGGUGCUUACACUUCUUUUUGGAUGUUUUUUGUAUGAAUCUGCAUUUUGGUUAUUGAAUUCAGUACAACGAAACACAUGAAUCCCCGAUGCGUACCAAAUGACUGAUUCUUUUAAACAGUCAGUAGAUUAGUAGAUUUCACCAUUGGUUGGUCUACUUGUGUAAAUCUGUCAGUUCAUGACAAGUAAUUUCUGAUGCUAGAAAUGUAGGAUGUUUGUGUGAAUCUUGCAUGUUUCAGAGAGAAAAAAAGUUUGUAGUUCCAUCACAUGGUGUACUGAACAACAUAAACAUGGUGUACUGAACAAACAUACGCAUUCACAUAAACAUGCCAGCAACUCCUCUUGCUAUACUUGUGCUUGUACUUGUCUAUUUUCUUGUUUGGAAAAUGGUUUCUUAUCCUCCUAACAGCUUUUCUCGCAUUUCAUCUAAAUUUAGUUUCAGCUGAAACCAGAGCUAAUGCAUUUGUGGCAUUGGAUGAGGUUACUAGGAAGAUUUGCAUUAGAGAAUGUUGUGCUGGAAAAGCUUCUAUUGAUCUCCGUCCACGAGUGGUGCUGCCCCGCGUCCGGUCGACAGCGUCCACGAGUGCGAGCAGCCCGUAUCCGGCUGCAAGAUGAAGGCCACCCGUGAACCGUGCUUCCCCUAACCACGUCCACCUUGUGUGAGUUCGCUGCUGAGAAGAAGCACAAGAACCUACAGUUCCCGGUGGUCGCCUUGGCCACACUUGGCCACAAGCUCUUCCACCAUGGUGACUGGCAGCCAUCCAAGUGGAAUGCAGACAUCAGUCCAAGCAGAACUAGUUCAUAUAAACUGACUGGUUUACCCUAAGUUUCCACCGUUUAAGUUCAGUUCAAUUCCUAAUUUAGGUUCAGUUCAUAGGAGCACUUAAAAAUCAAUUAGUUUGUGUUACUUAUAUUCCAUGAACUUCUAGUACCAUAAUUAAUGUAGUAGUGACAUGAGCUCCCUCUCCACCACUCCAGGAUCCACAGCGUCCUCCCAGUCCGACCCCAUGGUGUACAUUAACUUGGUUGUUAUAGUUGUUAUAGCAGAUAUAGUACAAAACUCUUUUUAGGUUUCUUUGUGAACUUAUAAUGUUUACUGUACAUGAACUUAGUUGUUCUUUUUACAUGAACUUGUACAUUGCCUUGUCAGGUUGUGCGUGUACUACCCAUAGGAGCACUUGAAAAUUUAAGUUAUGUUUAAUUUCUAAUUUAAAUUUAGUUCAUAGGAGCACUUGAAAAAUCAGUUUGUUUGUUUUACUUAUAUCCCAGUAUCCGGCUCUGCUGCUAAUGCGACGAUCUCCUCUUCCAGGUCCGGCAGCCCCCUGUACUCCCACAAUCUUUCAAAUUUGAUCAUUUUUUUGCAGGAUGUGGAAAAACUAGAUGCAACAUUUAUGGAAAAAAAGAGAUGGAUUUAUAGGAAGAUGGAGCACUGGAACGGAGAAGACUCAGUUCACAAAACAAUCUGAAAAAGUAGCAGGAACAGGCAACAGUUUGCAAAAAAAUGAAGGUACAAAUAAAGUUCAUAAAAAUGCUAUGAAAUUCAUGUACAUCGUCUGUAGUGUGUUGCGUGAUGUGGCAAUAGUGCGUGCUGUAGUGUGUUGGUGGAAACUGAAUUGAAGGAUCUUCAAUAUAUGAACCACAAGAGAGGUGCAUCCUGUACAUCGUCUCAAGAUCCUUCAUGUUAAUUUAUCCUUCAGUCCAAAAAUACAUGAAUCACAAAGACAGCUGAUGUUGCUAUUUCUUUUGGUUGAUGCUCA
RNA transcript from Triticum dicoccoides, 3316 nucleotides. RefSeq lists it as uncharacterized. The transcript is spliced from 8 exons. Lineage: Eukaryota; Viridiplantae; Streptophyta; Magnoliopsida; Poales; Poaceae. The record is from RefSeq and is a predicted model, not a curated record.